GUUUAUUUCCAUAUCCUCUCUUCAGAGUUUUGCGUUUAAAAUAUUAAUUCAUCCAAAUGACUUACAGCUAUGCAUUUCUUUCUAGGUGCAUAGGGAAUCUAUCAACAUUUCAAGACCACAGAUCCAGGAUGAGUUCCAAAGAAAUACAACAGUGCACCUGGAGUCAAAGUUCAUGUCCAAGCUGGAUGAAUACUCUUAACGGCUUCUGAACCUCUUCCACUCAAAGUGUGGGACCGUUGGAAAAUUUACAUUUUUACUGAAUCUGCAGGAGGACAUGCUAACAUGUGACUGUCUAUAAGACUGUGACCAUUCAAUUAGCUCAUGCAAAAUGUUUAAAUUUUUAUACACUGAUUAUAAAUAAUUAGCUUUUGGUGUUUCACACAUACUGUAUUAGUGUAUUUUCUGUAUAAAUGUACACAUCUGUGUCUUUAAACAACAGCUGCCACUCAUCCCUAUUUUCUAGCUGCUUUAACAUCAACAAUUUGGGAAAAGGCCUACUUUGGCAGUCUCUCCAUGAGUUGAAAUUGAGUUAAAAUGAUAUUGCUUCUCUUCCUCUACUGUGGUUUGAUGGUGCACCCUGUAGCAUAUCUUAUCAUAAAACAUAUAGGCAGGGAAGCACCUAGUCUGUCCAAAAGUCACAAAACUCAACUACCAGCUCACCAAAUGUUCAAUGAUAAACAUAACAUUCAAAAUGUUUUGGUUUUAUGGAAGUUUAUUUUUAUUUUUCCCAGACCAGUGACUUUCUGGAGUCAUAGUUGGUCCUCUGAAAACCUCAGUUAAGACAGGAAGUGUUUCAUAAAACUGGCCACUCACACAGCACAUAAAGGAUUAUUGAAAGUGGUCUCUUUCUUUCAAAAUAACACAAGUGUAAGCAUCCUAGCAUUAAAAACUGAACCAUGACCUUGUGUAAUAUUAAUUUAUGUUAUUUCAGGCUCCUAGCAAUCCUACCAUUAACAUAAGCAGAGACAUUGUGAUCCGGUGUCUGAUGCUGUACUUUGGGGAACCUGCCGACCAGCUCUUUAAAGAGAUGCAGAUGAAGGCAGUGUGGCACAGGACCUUGCUGUACAAGAGAUGAAAAUCUACAGCAUCCAGACCAGUCUGUCAGAAGGUACAGAGGACAUCGGAAUCGUGAUAGACGGAACAAAGGUCCUGACCACUCUGGGUAACUUUCCAAGGGCUUGUGCCAUGCUCAUUGGUUUGAUGUAUGCAGCGAAUCUCGCAUAUCCCAAGAAGCUCAGGUACACUUUUGAACCCUUUCAGAAACUCUUCCUUGAACUGGAUUGUCAACUGGUUAUCCAUACUCAUUUGAAGGUGGUUGUACUUUGGACUUACUGGCACAAGUAAGUGUUUUUGUAGAUUGGAAGCCAGAAGUAAUAA
Molecule: long non-coding RNA, 1377 nt
Organism: Centropristis striata (black sea bass)
Lineage: Eukaryota; Metazoa; Chordata; Actinopteri; Perciformes; Serranidae
Exons: 3
Source: RefSeq, a predicted model, not a curated record